RNAcentral lists this ribosomal RNA (501 nucleotides) under uncultured bacterium. RNAcentral describes it as "partial 16S ribosomal RNA". It matches the Rfam family "Bacterial small subunit ribosomal RNA", at positions 30 to 523 of the family's 1533-position model. The record is from RNAcentral.
AUUGAACGCUGGCGGCAGGCUUAGCACAUGCAAGUCGAGCGGAGAUGAGGUGCUUGCACCUUAUCUUAGCGGCGGACGGGUGAGUAAUGCUUAGGAAUCUGCCUAUUAGUGGGGGACAACAUUCCGAAAGGAAUGCUAAUACCGCAUACGUCCUACGGGAGAAAGCAGGGGAUCUUCGGACCUUGCGCUAAUAGAUGAGCCUAAGUCGGAUUAGCUAGUUGGUGGGGUAAAGGCCUACCAAGGCGAUGAUCUGUAGCGGGUCUGAGAGGAUGGUGCGCCGCACUGGGACUGAGACACGGCCCAGAGUCCUACGGGAGGCAGCAGUGGGGAAUAUUGGACAAUGGGGGGAGCCCUGAUCCAGCCAUGCCGCGUGUGUGAAGAAGGCCUUAUGGUUGUAAAGCACUUUAAGCGAGGAGGAGGCUACUGAGACUAAUACUCUUGGAUAGUGGACGUUACUCGCAGAAUAAGCACCGGCUAACUCUGUGCCAGCCGCCGCCGUAA